RNAcentral lists this long non-coding RNA (237 nucleotides) under Lathyrus oleraceus (garden pea). RNAcentral's name for it is "Pisum sativum (pea) long non-coding RNA (PSAT_LNC037652)". Lineage: Eukaryota; Viridiplantae; Streptophyta; Magnoliopsida; Fabales; Fabaceae. The record is from RNAcentral.
AACAAUGUUGUGACCUUCAAUGACAUGAAAUAGGUUAUACAUAUUGGUGAGCCAUCAAAUUCAAAGAAAAUGUGUAUUACUCCUAUUCAGAAAAUAAACUUUAGAAUGUCAGGCAACACGUCUCAACAUUUUGUCAAACAUGUUUACCAGAAAGUAGAAUGCACAAUGCCUGGUAACAUGUCUCCACAUCUUGUCAAACAUGUUUACUAGAAAGCGGAAUGUGUGAAAACAAGCUUC